RNAcentral lists this ribosomal RNA (883 nucleotides) under Syrnolopsis lacustris. RNAcentral's name for it is "partial 16S ribosomal RNA". It matches the Rfam family "Bacterial large subunit ribosomal RNA", at positions 1447 to 2597 of the family's 2925-position model. The record is from RNAcentral. Lineage: Eukaryota; Metazoa; Mollusca; Gastropoda; Thiaridae.
AGUAUUUUAGUAAUUAUCAAUUUUAAUAGCUAUUAUAGGCUUUUAAUUAAAUAUUAUUAGUCACGCCCCUAAGGAUUAGCUUAAGGGCUCAGUUGAGCUUAACAUAGUUAAAUAAAUUGUGUGAGCUUAAAAUCAGCUAUCACAAAAGUUUGUUAUAAAAUAAUUUACAAUAUUAACAAAAUUUGUAUAUUUAAUUCCACCUACUAAUGAAGAUAAAAUUAAGAACUAUAAUAAUUUCUACCUAUGCUAAAAUGAGUAUUAUAAUUUUUUUUAAAAUUGAAAUAAAUUAUAUUUUUCAUUAUAUAAUAUGAUUUAAUUAUAUUAAGUGAAUAAAAGGAACUCGGCAAAGCAAUGCUCCGCCUGUUUAUCAAAAACAUGGCUCCUCGAAUUAUUUAAAUGAGGAGUCAAACCUGCCCAGUGAAAACUUUUAAACGGCCGCGGUACUCUGACCGUGCAAAGGUAGCAUAAUCAUUUGCCUUAUAAUUGAAGGCUAGUAUGAAUGGUUUAACGUGAGCAAAACUGUCUCUUUUUCAUUUUCUAAAAAUUAACCUUUAGGUGAAGAGGCCUAAAUUUUAUUAAAGGACAAGAAGACCCUGUCGAGCUUUAAAUUAAUAACAGAGGUUGAUAUCAUAGAAAUAAUAAAUCUGUUAGCUUUUUUAGUUGGGGCGACUGAGGAACAAAUAAAGCUUCUUUUAAAUUAAUAAGCUAGAUAGCAGUGAUCCAGUAUUAAACUGAUCAAAAAAAUUAGUUACCGCAGGGAUAACAGCAUAAUCUCUCUUGAGAGACCAAAUCGAAAGAGGGGGUUGUGACCUCGAUGUUGGACUAGAAUAUCCGGAAGAUGCAGAUGUCUUCAAAGGUUGGUCUGUUCGACCAUUAAAAUUUU